GAUGAACGCUGGCGGCGUGCUUAACACAUGCAAGUCGAACGAAGCAUUUAAGACAGAUUACUUCGGUUUGAAGUCUUUUAUGACUGAGUGGCGGACGGGUGAGUAACGCGUGGGUAACCUGCCUCAUACAGGGGGAUAGCAGCUGGAAACGGCUGGUAAUACCGCAUAAGCGCACAGUACCACAUGGUACAGUGUGAAAAACUCCGGUGGUAUGAGAUGGACCCGCGUCUGAUUAGCUUGUUGGCGGGGUAACGGCCCACCAAGGCGACGAUCAGUAGCCGACCUGAGAGGGUGCCCGGCCACAUUGGGACUGAGACACGGCCCAGACUCCUACGGGAGGCAGCAGUGGGGAAUAUUGCACAAUGGAGGAAACUCUGAUGCAGCGACGCCGCGUGAGUGAAGAAGUAGUUCACUAUGUAAAGCUCUAUCAGCAGGGAAGAUAGUGACGGUACCUGACUAAGAAGCUCCGGCUAAAUACGUG
Molecule: ribosomal RNA, 481 nt
Filed under: uncultured bacterium
Lineage: Bacteria
Description: partial 16S ribosomal RNA
Rfam family: Bacterial small subunit ribosomal RNA
Source: RNAcentral